This 660-nucleotide ribosomal RNA is filed under the name uncultured bacterium. RNAcentral describes it as "bacterial SSU rRNA". It matches the Rfam family "Bacterial small subunit ribosomal RNA", at positions 50 to 697 of the family's 1533-position model. The record is from RNAcentral.
AACACAUGCAAGUCGAGGGGCAGCAUGGUCUUAGCUUGCUAAGGCUGAUGGCGACCGGCGCACGGGUGAGUAACACGUAUCCAACCUGCCGUCUACUCUUGGCCAGCCUUCUGAAAGGAAGAUUAAUCCAGGAUGGCAUCAUGAGUUCACAUGUCCGCAUGAUUAAAGGUAUUUUCCGGUAGACGAUGGGGAUGCGUUCCAUUAGAUAGUAGGCGGGGUAACGGCCCACCUAGUCAACGAUGGAUAGGGGUUCUGAGAGGAAGGUCCCCCACAUUGGAACUGAGACACGGUCCAAACUCCUACGGGAGGCAGCAGUGAGGAAUAUUGGUCAAUGGGCGAUGGCCUGAACCAGCCAAGUAGCGUGAAGGAUGACUGCCCUAUGGGUUGUAAACUUCUUUUAUAAAGGAAUAAAGUCGGGUAUGCAUACCCGUUUGCAUGUACUUUAUGAAUAAGGAUCGGCUAACUCCGUGCCAGCAGCCGCGGUAAUACGGAGGAUCCGAGCGUUAUCCGGAUUUAUUGGGUUUAAAGGGAGCGUAGAUGGAUGUUUAAGUCAGUUGUGAAAGUUUGCGGCUCAACCGUAAAAUUGCAGUUGAUACUGGAUGUCUUGAGUGCAGUUGAGGCAGGCGGAAUUCGUGGUGUAGCGGUGAAAUGCUUAGAUAU